UGGGUCUCGUGGCAAACGUGGACGUAACCAGAAAAGGAUGGAGAACUUGGUUUCAGAGAUCUUGAGCUCUUCAACCUUGCAUUACUAGCACGACAGCCUUGGCGGUUGUUAAUUAUGCCUGACUCUCUUUGUGCAAAGUUACUCAAGGCAAUUUAUUUUCCGGAGGUAAGCAUUAUGGAUGCUGAUGUGGGCUCUCACCCUUCACGGGUACGGCGGUCGUUGAUUGAAGGGAGGGACGUGCUAGCUCAAGGCCUGAUCCGGAGGAUAAGAGAUGGAAGUUCCACGCAAAUAUGCAGAGACAUGCCAAUGAAACCGAUUGCCCGCUUGGGGCUGAACCCACCAAGUUUAGUGUCGGAGUUGGUCAACACUACAAAUGUAGUGUGGCGAUCUGAUCUUCUAGAACAAUAUUUUUUGCCAACUAGGCUAUCGAGAAUAUACCCUUCCACACCAUGCCUAUGA
This 459-nucleotide ribosomal RNA is filed under the name Triticum aestivum (bread wheat). Its description in RNAcentral is "partial small subunit ribosomal RNA". The record is from RNAcentral. Lineage: Eukaryota; Viridiplantae; Streptophyta; Magnoliopsida; Poales; Poaceae.